UGUCGGGUCCCAUACAAUAGCGAAUCUUGUGAACCCCGCCAGGUCCGGAAGGAAGCAACGGUAACUUGAAUCUUAUGUGAUAUGGGGCGCCCGACACUU
RNAcentral lists this signal recognition particle RNA (99 nucleotides) under Bdellovibrionales bacterium. Its description in RNAcentral is "signal recognition particle sRNA small type". It matches the Rfam family "Bacterial small signal recognition particle RNA". Rfam says of the family: The signal recognition particle (SRP) is a universally conserved ribonucleoprotein involved in the co-translational targeting of proteins to membranes. The record is from RNAcentral. Lineage: Bacteria; Pseudomonadati; Bdellovibrionota; Bdellovibrionia; Bdellovibrionales.